RNAcentral lists this ribosomal RNA (253 nucleotides) under uncultured bacterium. RNAcentral describes it as "partial 16S ribosomal RNA". It matches the Rfam family "Bacterial small subunit ribosomal RNA", at positions 524 to 776 of the family's 1533-position model. The record is from RNAcentral.
UACGGGGGGGGCAAGCGUUGUUCGGAAUUACUGGGCGUAAAGGGCUCGUAGGUGGCCAACUAAGUCGGACGUGAAAUCCCUCAGCUUAACUGGGGAACUGCGUCCGAUACUGGAUGGCUCGAGUUUGGGAGAGGGAUGCGGAAUUCCAGGUGUAGCGGUGGAAUGCGUAGAGAUCCGGAGGAAGACCGGUGGCGAAGGCGAGUCUCUGGACGACUCCUGACACUGAGGCACGAAAGCCAGGGGAGCAAACAGG